AAUAGAUACCCGGGUAGUCCACGCCGUAAACGAUGAGUGCUAGGUGUUAGGGGGUCCAACCCUUAGUGCCGAAGUUAACACAUUAAGCACUCCGCCUGGGGAGUACGGUCGCAAGACUGAAACUCAAAGGAAUUGACGGGGGCCCGCACAAGCGGUGGAGCAUGUGGUUUAAUUCGAAGCAACGCGAAGAACCUUACCAGGGCUUGACAUCCCUCUGACCGCUCUAGAGAUAGAGCUUCUCUUCGGAGCAGAGGUGACAGGUGGUGCAUGGUUGUCGUCAGCUCGUGUCGUGAGAUGUUGGGUUAAGUCCCGCAACGAGUGCAACCCUUGUCCUUAGUUGCCAGCAUUCAGUUGGGCACUCUAAGGAGACUGCCGGUGACAAACCGGAGGAAGGUGGGGAUGACGUCAAAUCAUCAUGCCCCUUAUGUCCUGGGCUACACACGUGCUACAAUGGCUGGUACAAAGGGUAGCGAACCCGCGAGGGGAAGCCAAUCCCAAAAAGCCAGUCACAGUUCGGAUUGUAGGCUGCAACUCGCCUA
Molecule: ribosomal RNA, 539 nt
Filed under: uncultured bacterium
Lineage: Bacteria
Description: bacterial SSU rRNA
Rfam family: Bacterial small subunit ribosomal RNA
Source: RNAcentral